UUGCAGGAUCACUUGUACAUUUGGGUUGUUCAUGGGAUACAUAUGCUCAGGGGCUUGAAUGCUGAUUGCAUUCAUCAUCCUUUCUCCAUUACUUCCUCUUCUAGAGAGGUGUUAGAUUUUGCCAAUGAUUUGUUUGUUGGAAUUGCAGCAGUAGGAGCUCCCUUUGACUCGAAGUUGUAGUUAAGGUUUUUCUUCAUGGAAAUAUAACCAAGAGCCAACUGAGAUGCUGGCCUGUUUUAGUCAAUUUUGUAAGAUCCCGAACUAGAUAAGAAAUUGAUACAAACAAAAAUGGUAUAGCUCCAGAAUACUUGGGAGUGUUUUGUAAGAGGUUGUAACUAGCUGUCUGUCCCGCUUUCAACGCAAAAAAGAAUGUGUAGGUUUUUUUA
Populus nigra (black poplar) is the source of this 386-nucleotide long non-coding RNA. RefSeq lists it as uncharacterized. The transcript is spliced from 2 exons. NCBI's taxonomy places the organism in Eukaryota, Viridiplantae, Streptophyta, Magnoliopsida, Malpighiales, Salicaceae. The record is from RefSeq and is a predicted model, not a curated record.